GAUGAAGAACGUAGCGAAAUGCGAUACUUGGUGUGAAUUGCAGAAUCCCGUGAACCAUCGAGUCUUUGAACGCAAGUUGCGCCCGAAGCCAUUAGGCCGAGGGCACGCCUGCCUGGGCGUCACACGUCGUUGCCCCCCCAUCUACUCCUUCGGGAUUGCGGGGGGCGGAUGAUGGCCUCCCGUGCGCCUCGCCGCGCGGUUGGCAUAAAUGCCAAGUCCUCGGCGACGCACGCCACGACAAUCGGUGGUUGCGAAACCUCGGUUGCCCGUCGUGUGCGGUCGUCGCGCAUCGAGGGCUCGAAAAAAUUGCCGGGUUCCGGCUCGGGUUUCAACGCGACCCCAGGUCAGGCGGGGUUACCCGCUGAAUUUAAGCAUAUCAAUAAGCGGAGGA
RNAcentral lists this unclassified non-coding RNA (391 nucleotides) under soil metagenome. Its description in RNAcentral is "partial contains 5.8S ribosomal RNA, internal transcribed spacer 2, and large subunit ribosomal RNA". The stretch from base 1 to 122 matches the Rfam family "5.8S ribosomal RNA", at positions 35 to 154 of the family's 154-position model. The record is from RNAcentral.